Molecule: long non-coding RNA, 670 nt
Filed under: Gadus morhua (Atlantic cod)
Lineage: Eukaryota; Metazoa; Chordata; Actinopteri; Gadiformes; Gadidae
Description: lncRNA (ENSGMOG00000029219.1)
Source: RNAcentral
AUGGAGGACCAAAACCUCAUCGUCGCUGUGUGCAGCCGUCCUGUCCUUUACAACACCAGGAUGGUGUCGUACCGGGACAGGAACAAGAAAGAGAGGGCGUGGGUCGACGUGGCCGAGGAUACUGGCUGUCCUGACCAGCCCAGCAGUGAGUCAGAGACAGAGGACACUGCUCCUGCUCCUGCUCCUGCUCCUGCCCCUGUCCCUGCCGCUGGCCCUUCCCGUGUACCUGUCCCUGAGGCUGGCCCUGCCCCAAGACCACAGAGCGGGACGAAGAGGAAGAGAGCCAGGGUACCGGAGGGGAACACAAAUAUCCAGACAGCCAUCCUCCAGGCCCUGCAGAGGCAAAACGCUGUGCCUACCCCUACCCCGCUCUCUGGGAUUGAGCACUUUUUAAUGGGCCUAGUUCCUUCCCUGGAGAGAAUGCCACCUGAAGUACUGGAGUACGUUCAAUUCCAAAUUCGAAAGGUCAUAUUUGACAAUACUAAUUUCACACUUAAUUUGGAACCUGUUUAAGCUUAUUAGCUAGUGGUGGUGACAAUCUCUCCAGGGAAAGAACUAGGCUGAUGUCACUGUUCAUUUGUUAUUGUUCCGUUAUGUUUAUAUUAUAUUGUUUGUAUGUUAUUUUUGUUAUUUAUAUAAUUAUUUUUUAAAUAAAAUAUUUCUCACAACU